RNAcentral lists this unclassified non-coding RNA (626 nucleotides) under Hevea brasiliensis (rubber tree). The record is from RNAcentral. Lineage: Eukaryota; Viridiplantae; Streptophyta; Magnoliopsida; Malpighiales; Euphorbiaceae.
UUUGUUAUGACAAUUUUAUGAGAUUAAUAUAGUUUGAGAAUUAGUUCUCUUUCCCCUAAGGAUUUGUCCUUGUUUGCCUUCGAUCUUUUCUGGUGCUACAUAACAAGCCCGUUGAUGAGCUAAUAGCCAAACUUAAAUGAGCUAUUCAUGUGCAUAAAUAAACCACGUCCAACGUUGUUCAGCUCUUUUUAUUAAAUUAGUUUCAGAACUAGACUCUGGAUUUACUAACAUAAACUAAAGGGCUUGAAAAAGUCUUCUAUCAUAUCAUGUAGACGUUGAGCAUCCAAGUUGGUCACAAACUUCUUGGCUUGCAGCCCAAUUUCUUAUCUUGGAAGAUGAUGGUAUAGUUUUAAGUUAGCAAAGAAUAUGCCAUGUAUCUAAUGAUAUGGAAAUAAAUAAAUAAAUAAAUAAGCAACAGGAGCAUGGUUAAACUUUUCGUGGGUCAUCAAUAAUCUCAUUCAUGCCUCAAUAGGUGCUAUAUCAUGUAGCAUUUAGGAUGUUUUUUCUGAUUGAUACAGGCAAUUGAUUAUAGAGAUCUAAAAUUGUCCGCAUACCUUUUAUUUGAAAUGUAUAUAGCAGAUAAAAUGCUUACCUUCCAUGGCAGGUUUGUGCAACAAUUUUCCGGA